RNAcentral lists this transfer-messenger RNA (397 nucleotides) under Aquicella lusitana. RNAcentral describes it as "transfer-messenger RNA, SsrA". It matches the Rfam family "transfer-messenger RNA". From Rfam's summary of the family: Bacterial tmRNA, also known as 10Sa RNA or SsrA, is named for its dual tRNA and mRNA-like properties. Its role is to liberate the mRNA from a stalled ribosome. Lineage: Bacteria; Pseudomonadati; Pseudomonadota; Gammaproteobacteria; Legionellales; Coxiellaceae. The record is from RNAcentral.
GGGGGCGACCUGGUUUCGACGUGGAUUGCGAAGCUUGAGGCGCAUGCCGAGGACGUAACUUAACCUCGUAAAAAAUGUUACAAACUUUAUAGAUGCCAACAAAAAACGCAUCGCUGUUAACGACGCAAGCAUGCUUGCGUUAGCCGCCUAAACACCGGCGCAGCACCGCUCACCAACUGGGCUUGUACGGUUGGAUGUUUACGCAAGUAAACUAGGGCGGUCAUAGAUACAAGCUCGCAGGAUGAUCUGCCCGAGAUCAAACUGCUAAACUCAAUAGGGCUCGCUGCUUUAACAUCCUUCCAGCCGGAGGUGAGGCAGUUAAAUCAAAUGACUGGAUAAGCAUGUAGACCCGAUAGUAGAGGGUUCGCGGACGCGGGUUCAAUUCCCGCCGCCUCCA